RNAcentral lists this ribosomal RNA (468 nucleotides) under uncultured bacterium. Its description in RNAcentral is "partial 16S ribosomal RNA". It matches the Rfam family "Bacterial small subunit ribosomal RNA", at positions 28 to 507 of the family's 1533-position model. The record is from RNAcentral.
GACGAACGCUGGCGGCGUGCUUAACACAUGCAAGUCGAACGGAAAGGCCCUGCUUUUGUGGGGUGCUCGAGUGGCGAACGGGUGAGUAACAAGUGAGUAACCUGCCCUUGACUUUGGGAUAACUUCAGGAAACUGGGGCUAAUACCGGAUAGGAGCUCCUGCUGCAUGGUGGGGGUUGGAAAGUUUCGGCGGUUGGGGAUGGACUCGCGGCUUAUCAGCUUGUUGGUGGGGUAGUGGCUUACCAAGGCUUUGACGGGUAGCCGGCCUGAGAGGGUGACCGGCUACAUUGGGACUGAGAUACGGCCCAGACUCCCACGGGAGGCAGCAGUGGGGAAUAUUGCACAAUGGGCGGAAGCCUGAUGCAGCAACACCGCGUGCGGGAUGACGGCCUUCGGGUUGUAAACCGCUUUCGCCUGUGACGAAGCGUAAGUGACGGUAAUGGGUAAAGAAGCACCGGCUAACUACGUG